GAUGAACGCUGGCGGCGUGCCUAAUACAUGCAAGUCGAGCGAACAGAUAAGGAGCUUGCUCCUUUGACGUUAGCGGCGGACGGGUGAGUAACACGUGGGUAACCUACCUAUAAGACUGGUAUAACUCCGGGAAACCGGGGCUAAUGCCGGAUAACAUUUAGAACCGCAUGGUUCUAAAGUGAAAGAUGGUUUUGCUAUCACUUAUAGAUGGACCCGCGCCGUAUUAGCUAGUUGGUAAGGUAACGGCUUACCAAGGCAACGAUACGUAGCCGACGUGAGAGGGUGAUGGGCCACAGAGGAACUGAGCCGCGACCCAGGGUCGUAGGGGAGGCAGCGAUAGGGAAGCUACCGAGAUGGGCGAAAGCGUGACGGAGCGACGCCACGUGGAUGAAGAAGGUCUUCGGAUGGUAAAACGCUGUUAUUAGGGAAGAACAAAUGUGUAAGUAACGGAGCGCGUGUUAACGGUACCUAUCAGAAAGCCACGGCUAACUACGUG
RNAcentral lists this ribosomal RNA (496 nucleotides) under uncultured bacterium. RNAcentral's name for it is "partial 16S ribosomal RNA". It matches the Rfam family "Bacterial small subunit ribosomal RNA", at positions 28 to 507 of the family's 1533-position model. The record is from RNAcentral.